This 910-nucleotide long non-coding RNA is filed under the name Homo sapiens (human). RNAcentral describes it as "HSALNT0065670". The record is from RNAcentral. Lineage: Eukaryota; Metazoa; Chordata; Mammalia; Primates; Hominidae.
GAAAAACCUGCCUCCCAGUCUGCCCUCUCUCCGUCUGUCUGUGCUUGUUUUUCUACGUUUAUCCCUGUCGCUUUCCCCACUUAUUCUGCAGGCAUGGCGCGCCCCCAGUGCCGGCUUGGUGCCAGGGCUGGGAGAUCCGGGGGUGAAUCGUGAGCCCGGCCCACAGCGAGCUUGCAGUCUAGAGAUCAAGGCAGUCUUGUCCACAACCUGCUGUCACAUAAAGCAAAUGUAGCUGGUGUAGCACCAGGGGCUGCAAUCAAGUGCGGUGGGGCGGCAAUAGUGACCACGGAAAUAAUCAGAAUUGCUUUUAAUUCAGCUCCUACUAUAUUCCCGCAUCCCUGAGCCUCACAAUCAUCCUCCAAGGGGACACUCUUUAGGAGCCUGGCGGUGUCACUGACCCACAAGGAAAGGAGCGUUACCAUCAGUGUCGGAAUGGAUGACAUCAACAAACUGCGCAUCACUGGGAUCUAAUCUGUCUUGGAAAUGUUAAGGAAAUGAUACAGGCUUCCUAUAUCUUUUUCCUUAAAAACGACUCUAUGGACUUAAGUUCACCGAAGGAAGUGGAAUGAUGACAUGCAAAAUGACAACACAACUAAUUCUAUUUUUUAAGCAGUUAAGAAAACCAGUUUGUAAAUAACCUACCUGAUCUUGACAAGCACAACAAACUGAUGAAUAAGUAGAAUCUCAACAUAUGGAAACUGGAGAGAUCGUGUGUCACAUUCACAAGAAUGAUUUACUUCGCAGAGGCUUAAGAGUUUCCACUGUGGGAUUUUGCUCACAGUGAGCUCAGACGACUCAGAGGUGUGGUGACAACAGGAAGUUCCCUAGGGACUGACUGCAGGCAGUCCCAACCCUUUCAGGAUCUUUGACUCCUCCUCUUUUCAAUAAAAGGUCACUCAUUGUCUACUUU